GGAAGUAAAAGUCGUAACAAGGUUUCCGUAGGUGAACCUGCGGAAGGAUCAUUAACGAAUAACUAUGGUGUCUUGGUUGUAGCUGGCUCCUCGGAGCAUUGUGCACGCCCGCCAUUUUUAUCUUUCCACCUGUGCACCGACUGUAGGUGUCUGGAUAACCCUCGUCUUCCUCUCCGGAAGGCGGAUGCGAGGAUUGCCCGUGAGGGCUCUCCUCGAAUUUCCAGGCUCCUACGUCUUUUACACACCCCAACAGUAUGAUAUAGAAUGAUAGUCAAUGGGCUUUGACAGCCUAUAUAACACUAUACAACUUUCAGCAACGGAUCUCUUGGCUCUCGCAUCGAUGAAGAACGCAGCGAAAUGCGAUAAGUAAUGUGAAUUGCAGAAUUCAGUGAAUCAUCGAAUCUUUGAACGCACCUUGCGCUCCUUGGUAUUCCGAGGAGCAUGCCUGUUUGAGUGUCAUUAAAUUCUCAACCUCACCAGUUUUCUGAACUGCGUCGAGGCUUGGAUGUGGGGGUUUGUGCAGGCUGCCUCAGCGCGGUCUGCUCCCCUGAAAUGCAUUAGCGAGGUUCAUACUGAGCUUCCGUCUAUUGGUGUGAUAAUUAUCUACGCCGUGGACAGGGUUCAGACUCGCUUCUAACCGUCCCUCGGGACAAUACCCAUGACAAUUUGACCUCAAAUCAGGUAGGACUACCCGCUGAACUUAAGCAUAUCAAUAAGCGGAGGA
This 724-nucleotide ribosomal RNA is filed under the name uncultured fungus. RNAcentral's name for it is "eukaryotic LSU rRNA". The stretch from base 306 to 459 matches the Rfam family "5.8S ribosomal RNA". Lineage: Eukaryota; Fungi. The record is from RNAcentral.